GCAUCCAUAGCUCAGCUGGAUAGAGUACUCGGCUACGAACCGAGCGGUCGGAGGUUCGAAUC
RNAcentral lists this transfer RNA (62 nucleotides) under Erwinia billingiae. RNAcentral's name for it is "tRNA-Arg". It matches the Rfam family "tRNA", at positions 1 to 59 of the family's 71-position model. From Rfam's summary of the family: Transfer RNA (tRNA) molecules are approximately 80 nucleotides in length. Lineage: Bacteria; Pseudomonadati; Pseudomonadota; Gammaproteobacteria; Enterobacterales; Erwiniaceae. The record is from RNAcentral.